AACACACAUCAUGUCCUAAAAGACAAAUUCAACAAUUUUACUAAGAAAAUUAUGAAGAAUUAAUCUUGGCAUUGUAAUCGAAAGGGGUAUUACUUACCAUUCCGUUAGAAGUAAAAAGGUGAAUGGGAGUCCUCGUGAGCAUUACUUAGUUUGUAGGGGCAUUGUAAUAUGUGAAGGGCGGAACUCGAAUACGUAAUUGUCUGCUUAUUCACCUUAGGAUUUUAAUUUUUUUAUUUGUAAUAUAUCCAUUUUCAAGUUUUGGUUCUCCAAUUUUGUUUUGCUUUAAAAUGGUCCUAUUGAUUGUUUUUUUCUUUUUCAUUUUAGUUGUUGUUUGGUUUCCUUUUUAUAAAAUAUAUUUAUUUAUAUAUUUUAGUCAUGUUUUAUAUAUUUUUGUCUUUUAUAUUCAUCCCCGCACAAAUUAUCCCAAAAUUUAAGAAAAUAUAAUUUAAAAAAUGGCUCGCAACAAUUCAAUAAAAAUAAAUCAUUCUUGU
RNAcentral lists this long non-coding RNA (491 nucleotides) under Lathyrus oleraceus (garden pea). RNAcentral's name for it is "Pisum sativum (pea) long non-coding RNA (PSAT_LNC004061)". The record is from RNAcentral. Lineage: Eukaryota; Viridiplantae; Streptophyta; Magnoliopsida; Fabales; Fabaceae.